Molecule: transfer RNA, 66 nt
Filed under: Marmota monax (woodchuck)
Lineage: Eukaryota; Metazoa; Chordata; Mammalia; Rodentia; Sciuridae
Description: tRNA.Met
Source: RNAcentral
GGUGAAGCUUAGUGGUAGAGCGCUUGCCUCAUGUGUGUGAUACCCUGAGUUCAAUCCCCAGCACUG